RNAcentral lists this long non-coding RNA (1584 nucleotides) under Piliocolobus tephrosceles (Ugandan red Colobus). RNAcentral's name for it is "lncRNA (ENSPTEG00000001192.1)". Lineage: Eukaryota; Metazoa; Chordata; Mammalia; Primates; Cercopithecidae. The record is from RNAcentral.
AUGGAUAAUACAAAUAUUAAUUUAUGUUCAUACAAAAAAUUUAAAAAUAUUAAAACAAUGUACAACAAAAAAAGAAAAAAUAAGUUGGUAAAGCUACAUGUUAACAAAUCAAAACAUUUUUUUACAAACGAUGGUGAGUUAAAUGAUGAUAAUAAAAUAAAUGAUCAUCCAAAAAUAAACGAUCAUCCAAAAAUAAACGAUCAUACAAAAAUAAACGAUCAUACAAAAAUAAACGAUUAUUUGAAUAUAGACAAUUUUGAAAAAGCGGGGGUAGGGAAUGAAAAAAAAUUGAAAAAAAACGAUGAUAACACAAAUAAAUAUAAUAAUUAUUAUGAUAAAACCCAAGAAAGCACAAUUAAAAACACAAUUAAAAAAACAAUUGAGCAUAUGAAGGAUAAACAUAAUGCAUCACAUUCGAGGUAUACAGAAAAAGAAAAUGAACAACUGAUAGGGGUGGAAAAUAAUAGUAGCCUUAGACAACAUAAAAAUAAUUAUAUAAAGGAAGAAAAUGUAUAUCCACCGUGUUAUAAUCAUGAAGAUGGUUGUGACAGUAGUAUUGGAAGUAGCAGUCGUAGUAGUAGUAGUGGUAGUAGUAGUAGUAGUAGUAGUAGUGUAAGUAGUAUCAGCAAUGCCAGUAAUAUCAGUGGUAGUAGUAAUAGUAAUACAAGUAAUAGUACCAUUAGUAGUGCUAACAACGAUAACAAAGACCAGAGUGGCAAAAUCCAAUGGAAAAAAAACAAAUACAACAUUAAAAAAUAUAAAAACAUAAAAAAUUUAAUUAAAGAAGACUUAAACAAAGAAAUGGGUUUGAGUGAAAAUGAAAAUAGUGUUUUUUUAUGUCCAAUUAAAAAAAAUAAAAAAUCAAAUAGUAUACUUAAGCAAGCCUUAAUUAAAAAUACAAAUUUAAAAAAAUCAACUUUUUUAAAUUAUUCUUCUAUGGAUGAUAGUAAUAUUUUAAACAUUGAAAGUGAUAAUACAACAAGUGAAACAUCUACAGAUGAUGAGAAACAACAAAUUGGUUAUAGCGAAAAUGGUGGUCAUACAUGGUUGUCAAAUAAUAGAAUAAAAGAAAAUGUUACAUUUGCUAAGGGAGAAUCGCUUAAAAAUACAGAAACAAAACAUAAGUGGGAGCAAAUAAAAUCGUAUACAGAAGUAUAUUCAAAUGUAGAUACAAAAGAAAAAACGAUGCAGAAGGAAAAUACACAUAACAAUAAUCCUCCAUCUAAUAAAACAGCAUAUGAGUCUAACGCUAAUAAAGCAAACUUAAAAAACGAAAAUCAUAUUUUAUGCUAUGUGAAAAAUAAUACAGAUUUGAACGAAGUAAAAGAUGUGAUAAACGACACUAAUGAUACAAACUGUGGGAGUAAGGGCGAGGAUAAGCACGAAGAUAAACAUGAAGAUAAACAUGAAGAUAAACAUGAAGAUACACAUGAAGAUACACAUGAAGAUACACAUGAAGAUACACAUGAAGAUACACAUGAAGAUACACAUGAAGAUAAACAUGAAGAUACACAUGAAGAUAAACAUGAAGAUACACAUGAAGAUACACAUGAAGAUACACAUGAAGAUANNNNNNNNNNAUGA